AUGCUUCGGGUACCUGGCUGUGGAAGGAAGAAUAGAAAUUGCAAUAACAAAAUCCUAAUUCUAAUAGAAUACUAACAAUACUCUAAUUAGACUAUAAUAAUGGUAAACAAACAUAAUCAAAUUCAAAACAACUCAAAGAAAUUUCAAACAAAUAAUAAAAUUCAUAAAGAAAUAUUAAAAUGAUCACAAAUAUUACUCAAAUAUAUGUCAAUUCAACCUUAAUUUAAUUCUAGUUAAAACCCUAUUGAAUUUCACUCAAACUUUAGACCAAACCUAAUUAAAUCUUAAAUCCUAAUAAAUCCUAAAUCUUGAGUCAAAUCUUAAAUAAUCCUUAAAUUAAACCCUAAAUCAAAUCCUAUUUCAAACCCUAAACCCUAAAUCAAACCCUAAAUCAACCCUAAAUCCUAAUCCAAAUCCUAAAUCCUAAACCAAAUCUUAAAUCAAACCCUAACCAAACCCUAAUUCAAAUCCUAAAUCAAA
This 480-nucleotide long non-coding RNA is filed under the name Physcomitrium patens. RNAcentral describes it as "long non-coding RNA (PPAT_LNC008586)". The record is from RNAcentral. Lineage: Eukaryota; Viridiplantae; Streptophyta; Bryopsida; Funariales; Funariaceae.